GCAGUAGCCGCGGUAAUACGUAGGUGGCAAGCGUUGUCCGGAAUUAUUGGGCGUAAAGCGCGCGCAGGCGGAUCAGUUAGUCUGUCUUAAAAGUUCGGGGCUUAACCCCGUGAUGGGAUGGAAACUGCUGAUCUAGAGUAUCGGAGAGGAAAGUGGAAUUCCUAGUGUAGCGGUGAAAUGCGUAGAUAUUAGGAAGAACACCAGUGGCGAAGGCGACUUUCUGGACGAAAACUGACGCUGAGGCGCGAAAGCCAGGGGAGCGAGCGGGAUUAGAUACCCCCGUAGUCCCUGUCUCUUAUACA
This 302-nucleotide ribosomal RNA is filed under the name uncultured bacterium. Its description in RNAcentral is "partial 16S ribosomal RNA". It matches the Rfam family "Bacterial small subunit ribosomal RNA", at positions 508 to 809 of the family's 1533-position model. The record is from RNAcentral.